UCCGACGCGAAACAAUGGCGCGCGUCCGGAAGUUAUCCCAUCGGCUUUGCACGAGAAGAAGAACUCGUGGGGACUACGUUGCUCGCUUCGCUUGUCCGAGACAAGCUUUAGACCGACGAUCAGCGAUGACAACCCCCGGGGAUGAUGGUAGCUCGUCGUGCCAACGACCCAGUAUUUUGCAUACAAAUAACCGCGGAAAUCGAUAAAGCUUUUGAUUUUAAUGACAAUAGUUGCCUUUCAAUUUCAAGAGAUUCACAAGAAGAAGGAGCAGAAAUGGCUUUUCUAAAAGAAGAAAGGUAGAAGAGAGGGAUUACUCCCCUUGGGAAAUCAGUAGACACUAUCUUUGUGAAUUCUACCCAGAUUCUUUUUAAAAAAUUCUUCUUCCAGACUGAACUAGAAGACACAGAUAAAAACUUUGUAUAAGACUCUA
Long non-coding RNA from Atta colombica, 430 nucleotides. RefSeq lists it as uncharacterized. The transcript has 2 exons. NCBI's taxonomy places the organism in Eukaryota, Metazoa, Arthropoda, Insecta, Hymenoptera, Formicidae. The record is from RefSeq and is a predicted model, not a curated record.